GGAUGCGAUCAUACCAGCACUAAAGCACCGGAUCCCAUCAGAACUCCGAAGUUAAGCGUGCUUGGGCGAGAGUAGUACUAGGAUGGGUGACCUCAUGGGAAGUUCUCGUGUUGCAUUCC
RNAcentral lists this ribosomal RNA (119 nucleotides) under Triticum aestivum (bread wheat). Lineage: Eukaryota; Viridiplantae; Streptophyta; Magnoliopsida; Poales; Poaceae. The record is from RNAcentral.